GAUCCCAAGCCUUCUGGCGAUCUCUUAUAAAGAAAGCCCUCCAUAAUAAAUUGAAAAGGGUCCUUUGGGGAAAAGUUUUCCCUUUGAUAAGAUGAAGCCGGGGAAGGUUUUCCGGUUUAUCCCGGAGGGCUUGUAGCUCAGUUGGUUAGAGCGCGCGCUUGAUAAGCGUGAGGUCGGAGGUUCAAGUCCUCCCAGGCCCACCAAUCAUUCUAUCAAUCUAUAAGCGCUUGUGGAAAUUGCUCAUAGAAAACUUUCUUUAUUCAUUUAUGAAAAAUCUCCUUAUAGAGAUAGAGAGAGACGCUUUUCCCUUUGGGUUUGAAAACUCAAGAUUACAGGUGUUAAAGUGGCUUUAAAGGAAAAGUGACAAAGAAUAAGGAAUAACGAUUUAAGUUAUCCCUUUUUGGUGAUCUUGAUUUGGGUGUUUUGAAUGCGUUAUGUUUUUUAGGGGGGCCGUAGCUCAGCUGGGAGAGCACCUGCUUUGCAAGCAGGG
Molecule: unclassified non-coding RNA, 490 nt
Filed under: uncultured Bartonella sp.
Lineage: Bacteria; Pseudomonadati; Pseudomonadota; Alphaproteobacteria; Hyphomicrobiales; Bartonellaceae
Description: partial 16S-23S ribosomal RNA intergenic spacer
Rfam family: tRNA (bases 127-200)
Source: RNAcentral